GAUGAACGCUGGCGGCGUGCCUAAUACAUGCAAGUCGAGCGAACAGACGAGGAGCUUGCUCCUCUGACGUUAGCGGCGGACGGGUGAGUAACACGUGGAUAACCUACCUAUAAGACUGGGAUAACUUCGGGAAACCGGAGCUAAUACCGGAUAAUAUAUUGAACCGCAUGGUUCAAUAGUGAAAGACGGUUUUGCUGUCACUUAUAGAUGGAUCCGCGCCGCAUUAGCUAGUUGGUAAGGUAACGGCUUACCAAGGCGACGAUGCGUAGCCGACCUGAGAGGGUGAUCGGCCACACUGGAACUGAGACUCGGUCCAGACUCCUACGAGAGGCAGCAGUAGGGAAUCUUCCGCAAUGGGCGAAAGCUUGACGGAGCAACGCCGCGUGAGUGAUGAAGGUCUUCGGAUCGUAAAACUCUGUUAUUAGGGAAGAACAAAUGUGUAAGUAACUAUGCACGUCUUGACGGUACCUAAUCAGAAAGCCACGGCUAACUACGUG
This 497-nucleotide ribosomal RNA is filed under the name uncultured bacterium. Its description in RNAcentral is "partial 16S ribosomal RNA". It matches the Rfam family "Bacterial small subunit ribosomal RNA", at positions 28 to 507 of the family's 1533-position model. The record is from RNAcentral.